GCAUUGGUGGUUCAGUGGUAAAACUCUCAAUUCCCACGCAGGAGACCUGGGUUUGAUUCCUGGUCAGUGCA
RNAcentral lists this transfer RNA (71 nucleotides) under Loxodonta africana (African savanna elephant). It matches the Rfam family "tRNA". Rfam says of the family: Transfer RNA (tRNA) molecules are approximately 80 nucleotides in length. Their secondary structure includes four short double-helical elements and three loops (D, anti-codon, and T loops). The record is from Rfam by way of RNAcentral. Lineage: Eukaryota; Metazoa; Chordata; Mammalia; Proboscidea; Elephantidae.